AUUGAACGCUAGCGGGAUGCCUUACACAUGCAAGUCGAACGGCAGCGCGGACUUCGGUCUGGCGGCGAGUGGCGAACGGGUGAGUAAUGUAUCGGAACGUGCCCAGUAGCGGGGGACAACUACUCGAAAGAGUAGCUAAUACCGCAUACGCCCUACGGGGGAAAGGGGGGGAUCGCAAGACCUCUCACUAUUGGAGCGGCCGAUAUCGGAUUAGCUAGUUGGUGAGGUAAAGGCUCACCAAGGCGCCGAUCCGUAGCCGGUUUGAGAGGACGACCAGCAGCACUGGGACUGAGCGACGGCCCAGACUCCUACGGGAGGCAGCAGAGGGGAAUAUUGGACAAUGGGGGCAACCCUGAUCCAGCCAUGCCGCGUGAGUGAAGAAGGCCUUCGGGUUGUAAAGCUCUUUCGGCCGGGAAGAAAUCGCACAGGCUAAUACCCUGUGUGGAUGACGGUACCGGCAUAAGAAGCACCGGCUAACUACGUGCCAGCCGCCGCAGUAA
This 500-nucleotide ribosomal RNA is filed under the name uncultured bacterium. Its description in RNAcentral is "partial 16S ribosomal RNA". It matches the Rfam family "Bacterial small subunit ribosomal RNA", at positions 29 to 523 of the family's 1533-position model. The record is from RNAcentral.